UUGUGUUUUGAGAGAAAGAGAGAGAGAGAGAGAGAACAUGAGGUGGGGGGUGGGGGGUCAGGGAGAGAGCAGGGGAGAGAAUCCCCAGCAGGCUCCAUGCUGUCAGUGCAGAGCCAGAUCAAGGGUUUGAACUCACAAUCACAAAUUGUGAGAUCAUGACGUGAGUCAAAAUCAAGAGUCAGACACUGAACCAACUGAGCCACCCAGGUGGCCCUGGGGGCACCUAUUGCAGGAAGCAUGUGCCACAUUGCUUAUUAUCUACUGAGGCCACGGGAAGAAAGACUGAGGUAAAGGGACUCAAGGACAUGCCAGGAAAGAAAGACCAGAAACUUCCAAGAAUUGGAACAGAAAGGAGAAUAAAGUACCAGGAGAAAAGGAACUAAGAAGCAGAAACAAACAGAUAUGAAGACAAUAUACCAACAGCCUACCUCACCUUCAUACCACACAAAACCAGAACAUGCCCAACCUUCUCAGUAUCAGUCUUUAAAACAGGGAGCACUGAAGCAGAGAAAAGGGAGAGAAGUUUCCACAAGCCAGCUAUGCUCUACUGCUCACUGCAUUUGACAUGCUUCAUGAUGAGUGAGGGAUACAGCAUGAAGGUAUAGAAAGAGGAUUUUUGAAGAUUUCUUUAAUAGAGUGAUGCUAUGAAACCUUAUCCUUCCUGACUGGCAAGAUUCAUCUUCACACAAAAGAGAAGUUUCUUAAAGAGAUCACUUGAAGAGCUCAAUAAAAUACAAUGAGAUUUAGAGGACA
This 753-nucleotide long non-coding RNA is filed under the name Felis catus (domestic cat). RNAcentral describes it as "lncRNA (ENSFCAG00000044796.2)". Lineage: Eukaryota; Metazoa; Chordata; Mammalia; Carnivora; Felidae. The record is from RNAcentral.